Molecule: ribosomal RNA, 498 nt
Filed under: Blanus strauchi (Turkish worm lizard)
Lineage: Eukaryota; Metazoa; Chordata; Lepidosauria; Squamata; Blanidae
Description: partial 16S ribosomal RNA
Rfam family: Bacterial large subunit ribosomal RNA
Source: RNAcentral
GCCUGCCCAGUGACACACGUUAAACGGCCGCGGUAUCCUAACCGUGCAAAGGUAGCGUAAUCAUUUGUUCUUUAAAUAAGGACCCGUAUGAAUGGCUACAUGAGGAUUGACUUGUCUCUUACAGCGAAUCAAUGAAACUGAUCUCCUAGUCCAAAAGCUGGGAUACUCACAUAAGACGAGAAGACCCCGUGGAGCUUCAAACUACCAGCCAACCAGCUUUUGGACUGGAGUUUUUAGUUGGGGCGACUUUGGAGACAAACAAAACCUCCAAACACAUCAACCUAGGCCCACAUGCCACCACACCACUUACAUGAUCCAAUAAAAUUGAAUAAUGAACCAAGUUACCCCGGGGAUAACAGCGCAAUCUUCUUCUAGAGUCCCUAUCGACAAGAAGGUUUACGACCUCGAUGUUGGAUCAGGAUACCCAAAUAGUGCAGCCGCUAUUAACGGUUCGUUUGUUCAACGAUUAAUAUCCUACGUGAUCUGAGUUCAGACCGG